GUCAAACCCUUGUUUUCAGCUUAAGAAAUUAUCGAUCUUACUGACUUAAUUAGCUACCCACAAGGAGCCAUGCUGCAACUUUUUUGCCAGGGAGACGGGGGUGAACGGUGAAGGCUGGAAAAGUUGAAAAUUAUCUUCGGCUGCGAUAUUAUAACCUAAUCAGGUGAUGGUGUGAUGGUUAACCCAUCACUUUGGAUAACGACCAAGCUAGGUUCAAAGUCAAUAUCAGAGUUCUUGGCCCAUGAUUAACUCGCUUUCUCUACGUUGACUCACCAUCUAAUACCAUCCCUUGUGUAUUUUUUUUUAGUUUAAUGUGGGUGUUCGGGUCAUCUUGUGUAUACCUCGACUAAUCCCACGGACCCCAAAAUUAACGACCAUGUAAGCCUCCAGUGAUCAUCAUAUGAGCAACCACAGGGCUCGAACCUGAGACCACAAAGAAAACAAACCUCUUGAUCCAAGCUCUUAUCACUGGACCACCAUCUAAAUGGUUACCAUCCCCCAUAUAUUGAUUUUACAGAAGUCAAACAUUUUUUUUAAAAAAGAAGUCACAGCAAAGAAAGGCAA
Molecule: long non-coding RNA, 564 nt
Filed under: Populus trichocarpa (black cottonwood)
Lineage: Eukaryota; Viridiplantae; Streptophyta; Magnoliopsida; Malpighiales; Salicaceae
Description: long non-coding RNA (PTRI_LNC002188)
Source: RNAcentral